RNAcentral lists this ribosomal RNA (695 nucleotides) under uncultured bacterium. RNAcentral describes it as "bacterial SSU rRNA". It matches the Rfam family "Bacterial small subunit ribosomal RNA", at positions 219 to 929 of the family's 1533-position model. The record is from RNAcentral.
UUAGGGGUGUGCUCGCGGCCUAUCAGCUAGUUGGUGAGGUAACGGCUCACCGAGGGCUAAGACGGGUAGCCGGCCUGAGAGGGUGUACGGCCACACUGGAAUUGAGAUACGGUCCAGACUCCUACGGGAGGCAGCAGUGGGGAAUCUUGGGCAAUGGGCGAAAGCCUGACCCAGCGACGCCGCGUUGGGGAUGAAGCCCUUCGGGGCGUAAACCCAUGUUGUAGGGGGCGAAGAAAGUGACGGUACCCUACGAGAAAGCCCCGGCCAACUACGUGCCAGCAGCCGCGGUAAAACGUAGGGGGCGAGCGUUGUCCGGAAUUACUGGGCGUAAAGGGCACGCAGGCGGUACGCCAAGUCGGGGGUGUAAAGUUACGGCUCAACCGUGACCUUGCAAUCGAUACUGGCGUACUGGAGUGCGGGAGAGGGAAGUGGAAUUCCCGGUGUAGCGGUGAAAUGCGUAGAUAUCGGGAGGAACGCCAGUGGCGAAGGCGGCUUCCUGGCCCGCGACUGACGCUCAUGUGCGAAAGCCAGGGGAGCGAACCGGAUUAGAUACCCGGGUAGUCCUGGCCGUAAACGAUGGGUGCUAGGUGUAGGCGCGUCAAGCGUCUGUGCCGCAGUUAACGCGAUAAGCACCUCGCCUGGGGAGUACGGUCGCAAGGCUGAAACUCAAAUGAAUUGACGGAAUCCCGCGGCCA